GUGUUGCUCUGGCAACGAGCGGCCGCGGGUCGUCGAGGCCUUCGCCCCCUGAGUUGAGGAAGAAGCUGAAAACACUGGGCACAUCUCUGUUUUUGUUGGAGGUCACUUGCUGAUUUAUCUCCAAUUCACAGUUCAUUAGAAGGAGGGUGCUCAGCCUCUGUGUUUAUCCGCAAGGAAGAGCGGUUCCCAUGGUCAUUAGAAAGAAGUGGAGAAGCUGUUUUCUGAACUGGUCUAUUCUUGUAGCGACGUUGAAGGCUCUGUUAAAUGCAAUUACUCAAAAAAUACUCAGCUGUUAAAGAAUUCUAGGUGUGCAUUAAUUGCUGUUGUAAGACCAUUAUAAAGGUAUUUAGGUCAGAGAUGUACUGUAAUGAUCAUCCACUGUGUAAGAUGCUGGUAUUCUCUAGUGGGUGUGCCUAAAGGUGCCAGAGUUUUUAAUAGAAUCUUUGAAGUUUCUCAAAAUUAUUUUUUUUCCAAUCUAAUGUGUUAAUCUCAAUGUGUGAAUUGUGUGAAUCCUUCUAUUGAAUAAUGACUUCUCCUGUGUGUAAAAACCUAGCCCGAGUGGACUGACUGGGAAGGGGUGGAUGGGUUUGUUAAUUUAUAUUUGAUCUGUAGUACCUGCUUAUAGUUAUGUCCUUAAUUAUUCUUUAUUUUCUGUGGUAAAUAGUAAUAUAUUUUAGGUUCAAAAACCAAAUUAAUGUUCUACCAUAACUAAUGAAAUUGAAGUGUUUAAAAGUUAUAUUUGUUUAUUAAUUUGGGUUAGUGUUUAAUAGUCUUCUACUCAUAAAAUAAAAAGUCUUUCUUUGUAAUUAUUAAGAUUGUCUUCCAUAAAAUGUUUUGUUCGACUGAUUGAUUAUAACCUGAAUAAAUGGUGAGAGAAAGAAUCUUCUCAUUAGUUACCACUGUAUGUGUAAGAAAAAUGUUGGUUUGAGUGGCUGAAAAUUGACUACCUUUCUGUUUACCUUCUUAGAGGUCUUGGAUGUUGUUGUCUGGUCAGGUUCUAGGGAGCAAGUUAGUGCUUUCUGUCUGAAAACAGUUUGCUAAGCCUUUGUCUUGUACAAGGUCAAAAUAUUCUGGCCCUCUGAAUGCAUAUCCAUUUCAAGUGCUAAGGAAAACCAAUUGUAUUUAAAAAGCAUUACCAUUGUAGAUGGAUUUCCAGAUAUUUCCUUUCAGAACCUUCAGAAUAAAUACAAACACAGAAAUAGAGCAGGCAAAACCUUGUUUGUUGUGUUGUAUGGGAUUUGUCCCAUUAACGUCAGCAUGUAAAUAUUUGCUUCACUUCAGUCAAUGUUUACCUCACUUGUCAAUAAGACUUGGUUUGCACUUCAUAAAGUUAAUACUUACUUUCUGCUUUUAGUUUGGUGAAAAUAUAUCAAAUUCUCUGUUUCUAACAUUAUGGAGGGCCUUUUUGCUGCUUUUCUAACAAAAAAGAUUUUGUAUUAACAGAUGUGUGUUAGUUUAUUAG
RNAcentral lists this long non-coding RNA (1462 nucleotides) under Strigops habroptila (Kakapo). RNAcentral's name for it is "lncRNA (ENSSHBG00005014009.1)". Lineage: Eukaryota; Metazoa; Chordata; Aves; Psittaciformes; Psittacidae. The record is from RNAcentral.